GCCGACCUAGCUCAGUGGUAGAGCGCGUGGCUUUUAACCACGUGGUCGUGGGUUCUAUCCCCACGGUCAGGCG
This 73-nucleotide transfer RNA is filed under the name Setaria italica (foxtail millet). Its description in RNAcentral is "tRNA tRNA-Lys". It matches the Rfam family "tRNA". From Rfam's summary of the family: Transfer RNA (tRNA) molecules are approximately 80 nucleotides in length. Their secondary structure includes four short double-helical elements and three loops (D, anti-codon, and T loops). The record is from RNAcentral. Lineage: Eukaryota; Viridiplantae; Streptophyta; Magnoliopsida; Poales; Poaceae.